This 772-nucleotide long non-coding RNA is filed under the name Capsicum annuum. Its description in RNAcentral is "long non-coding RNA (CANN_LNC003691)". The record is from RNAcentral. Lineage: Eukaryota; Viridiplantae; Streptophyta; Magnoliopsida; Solanales; Solanaceae.
AAUUAUGGUAAAUUUAGAUAACUCUUCUUGAUUUCAUUUAAUAAGUAGGAAAUAUCUCUUUUUACUUGUUCUAUUCAUGGAAAUUUCAAAUGUUAUAAUUUGACAUACCCUUGUUUAUUUAUUUAUGGCAACUAUAGUAUGAUUGGUGGAAUGGAUUGAUUUAUCCCCAUCCAUUUAAGGGAACAAUCUCCUUAAUUGAUUCAUUAUAUGUUAUUCUUCCUUCAUUAAAUAUUAUUCUUCCUUCAUUAUUUGGGAUUGUGGACGGCCCUCCUCACUAUAUAAACUCACCAUUCUCUUUCUCUAAGAGGACAGACUUCUCCUCCGCUAUUACUCUCUCUAUUUUCUCUUAAAAGUACUUUGAAGUUCUUUGGCACUUUGGAUUUUGAAAAACCUUCGGUCUUGUCCUUGCUGCAAUUGCUUUGGGUUCUAUUAUUAUUAUUAGGUGCCUAUUUGUGAUAGCAAAGCAUAGAAAGCAUGUCUAUAAGAACUAAUUUAAAAUAAUUAUGUUGUGCUUGCUUGCUAUGCCUGUGUUUCUUUGUUCCUCUAUAUAAGACAAUGUGUUGGUAUAGUCAAGUAUUCCUUCUGUGCUUGUAGCACUCUUUUGCUCGUAUGUGACAGGUAUUAAGUGGUAUUGGAAGAGUCGUCGGGUGGUUGCUUCUUUCUUUCUUUGUUUAGUCUCAUAGCUUCAUUUUAUUUAUUCAUUGGUCUGUACUGUAUAAACCUCACUGAUGUAAUGGUAAUUAUUGGGACUGCUUGGGGGCGGGGAUUUAUG